This 87-nucleotide transfer RNA is filed under the name Methanomassiliicoccaceae archaeon. RNAcentral describes it as "tRNA-Ser". It matches the Rfam family "tRNA". Rfam says of the family: Transfer RNA (tRNA) molecules are approximately 80 nucleotides in length. Their secondary structure includes four short double-helical elements and three loops (D, anti-codon, and T loops). Further hydrogen bonds mediate the characteristic L-shaped molecular structure. tRNAs have two regions of fundamental functional importance: the anti-codon, which is responsible for specific mRNA codon recognition, and the 3' end, to which the tRNAs corresponding amino acid is attached (by aminoacyl-tRNA synthetases). tRNAs cope with the degeneracy of the genetic code in two manners: having more than one tRNA (with a specific anti-codon) for a particular amino acid; and 'wobble' base-pairing, i.e. permitting non-standard base-pairing at the 3rd anti-codon position. Lineage: Archaea; Methanobacteriati; Thermoplasmatota; Thermoplasmata; Methanomassiliicoccales; Methanomassiliicoccaceae. The record is from RNAcentral.
GUGGGGGUGGCCCAGCCUGGUAAGGCGAUAGACUGCUAAUCUAUUGUCCGCAAGGACCCGCGAGUUCGAAUCUCGCCCCUCACGCCA